AGGCACAUAGCUCAGUUGGUUAGAGCACCACCUUGACAUGGUGGGGGUCGUUGGUUCGAGUCCAAUUGUGCCUA
Molecule: transfer RNA, 74 nt
Rfam family: tRNA
About the family: Transfer RNA (tRNA) molecules are approximately 80 nucleotides in length.
Source: Rfam